This is a long non-coding RNA of Nilaparvata lugens (brown planthopper), 973 nucleotides long. RefSeq lists it as uncharacterized. NCBI's taxonomy places the organism in Eukaryota, Metazoa, Arthropoda, Insecta, Hemiptera, Delphacidae. The transcript is spliced from 2 exons. The record is from RefSeq and is a predicted model, not a curated record.
UUGUAACAAUUUUGGACGUGAUUAUUUUUAUCUUGUUUUUCUGUUAUUUCGGUUCUAAAUUCGAUUGUAUUAUCAGCUUGUUUUUCUCAGUGAGACAAAGAUGCACUUAUGGGAUCGAACUGUACCCUUCGAAUAAUCUACUUUCUUGUUCUCUCCAGUUCUUUUUUGCUAUUUUCUUUCUCUCUUUUUCUGUCCUUGUUGGUAACUUUGAGUUUGCAUUGCUCUUUCUCUCUAGUUUCUUUGUCUAAUUUUGAUAAUUCCGUUUUGCUUACGUCACUGUCUUGUUUGCUACCCCGUCUUCAACGCUCGAUGAUCCAUUUCUGUCUCUGAAUUUCGUGAGUGGAGGUUGUAAAUUUAACUUUUUCCUUUGAUUCCAUUUUUAUUUAGCUUAUGCUAAAUUUUUCUAUUUAUUACAAUAUGUAGUUGAUCAGAGACAGAUUUCAUACAUCACAAGUUGUGAUAUUAUUAUUAUUUUCUUUAUUUUUUUUAUUUCCUUUUUAAAUAUGUAAAUUUUCUUGUUUGUUAUAAAAAAAAAAAAGAAAAGUAAUCAUGUCCGAAAAUUUAAUUGAGUAUUCAUUCUAGCUGGCCUAAGUUAUGGCAAUUUAUUUAUAUUUGUUGAAAACCUCAUUCAUCACAUAUGUAUCCAUAGUAAUUUCUACAAUUUCCGCUGUACAGCGGUCGUUGACUCGUAGACACGUAGACUCGUAGACUCGUAGUAUCACAGGAUGUCUUAGUUAUGGCCAUGGAAGCUGAAUCCUUGCUGACCAACUCAUCACAAGGAAACCAAUAUUUCCAGAAAAGAUCUAAAUUCGCCGUAAAAAGGAUACUUCAAGAACUUCUUGUGCAGUGAAAAAUUAAUAAGUGAAAAAUUUGAAUAAAGUGUACGGAGGCCUCCUCACUUCAAUACACCAGGUAUUUACGAAACAACCAAUAUUAAUUUAUGGAAAAUUCACAGGCAACUACUUCGCAAAAA